RNAcentral lists this ribosomal RNA (433 nucleotides) under uncultured bacterium. RNAcentral's name for it is "partial 16S ribosomal RNA". It matches the Rfam family "Bacterial small subunit ribosomal RNA", at positions 29 to 507 of the family's 1533-position model. The record is from RNAcentral.
AACGAACGCUGGCGGCAUGCCUAACACAUGCGAGUCGAACGAGACCUUCGGGUCUAGUGGCGCACGGGUGCGUAAGGCGUGGGAACCUGCCCUUAGGUUCGGAAUAACUCCCCGAAAGGGGUGCUAAUACCGGAUAAUGUCUUCGGACCAAAGAUUUAUCGCCUUUGGAUGGGCCCGCGUUGGAUUAGCUAGUUGGUAGGGUAAAAGCCUACCAAGGCGACGAUCCAUAGCUGGUCUGAGAGGAUGAUCAGCCACACUGGGACUGAGACACGGCCCAGACUCCUACGGGAGGCAGCAGUGGGGAAUAUUGGACAAUGGGCGAAAGCCUGAUCCAGCAAUGCGGGGUGAGUGAUGAAGGCCUUAGGGUUGUAAAGCUCUUUUACCCGGGAUGAUAAUGACAGUACCGGGAGAAUAAGCACCGGCUAACUCCGUG